AAGACAACCAAUUACUCUGCUUACCUGAAUGUGUUUCUGCAGAAAUUUAGAACCAGCUGGCAAUAGUGAUGACAUUUUAUGAGCCUUAAGGACAACUGAGGUCAUAUGGUCCCUCAAAAUGGCUACAAAA
Molecule: small nucleolar RNA, 130 nt
Organism: Jaculus jaculus (lesser Egyptian jerboa)
Lineage: Eukaryota; Metazoa; Chordata; Mammalia; Rodentia; Dipodidae
Source: Ensembl